This 676-nucleotide ribosomal RNA is filed under the name Ceraceomyces sp. HHB-12679-Sp. Its description in RNAcentral is "eukaryotic LSU rRNA". The stretch from base 265 to 418 matches the Rfam family "5.8S ribosomal RNA". Lineage: Eukaryota; Fungi; Basidiomycota; Agaricomycetes; Amylocorticiales; Amylocorticiaceae. The record is from RNAcentral.
AGAGGAAGUAAAAGUCGUAACAAGGUUUCCGUAGGUGAACCUGCGGAAGGAUCAUUACUGAGUUUUGAACGGGUUGUAGCUGGCCUUUCACGAGGCAUGUGCACGCCUGGCUCAUUCCCACUCUCUUACCUCUGUGCACCAUUUGUAGGAGAAAAGGGAGGUUACAGACCGCUAGCCGGUUGAAGGCCUCUCUCUCUCUCUCCUAUGUUUUAUUACAAACGCUUCAGUAUCAGAAUGUUUAUCUUGUGUAAUGCAUUAUAAUACAACUUUCAGCAACGGAUCUCUUGGCUCUCGCAUCGAUGAAGAACGCAGCGAAAUGCGAUAAGUAAUGUGAAUUGCAGAAUUCAGUGAAUCAUCGAAUCUUUGAACGCACCUUGCGCUCCUUGGUAUUCCGAGGAGCAUGCCUGUUUGAGUGUCAUGGAAUUCUCAACCCAAAGAAUUUUGUUAUUCUGCGGGCUUGGACUUGGAGGUUUGUGUCGGCUCUAGCUCAGUCGACUCCUCUGAAAUGUAUUAGCGUGAAUUCUUUACGGAUCGCCUUCAGUGUGAUAAUUAAUCUGCGCUGCGGCUGUGAAGUAUUUAAUUGACUCAUGCUUACAAUCGUCUCUUAGGAGACAAUUUGUUAUAUGACAUCUGGCCUCAAAUCAGGUAGGACUACCCGCUGAACUUAAGCAUAUCA